ACAACGUCUCGAAAGGGACGCUAAUACCGCAUACGUCCUACGGGAGAAAGUGGGGGCUCUUCGGACCUCACGCUAUCAGAUGAGCCUAGGUCGGAUUAGCUAGUUGGUGAGGUAAUGGCUCACCAAGGCGACGAUCCGUAACUGGUCUGAGAGGAUGAUCAGUCACACUGGAACUGAGACACGGUCCAGACUCUAUACGGGAGGCAGCAGUGGGGAAUAUUGGACAAUGGGCGAAAGCCUGAUCCAGCCAUGCCGCGUGUGUGAAGAAGGUCUUCGGAUUGUAAAGCACUUUAAGUUGGGAGGAAGGGUUGUACGUUAAUACCGUGCAAUUUUGACGUUACCGACAGAAUAAGCACCGGCUAACUCUGUGCCAGCAGCCGCGGUAAUACAGAGGGUGCAAGCGUUAAUCGGAAUUACUGGGCGUAAAGCGCGCGUAGGUGGUUUGUUAAGUUGGAUGUGAAAUCCCCGGGCUCAACCUGGGAACUGCAUCCAAAACUGGCAAGCUAGAGUAGGGCAGAGGGUGGUGGAAUU
Molecule: ribosomal RNA, 531 nt
Filed under: Pseudomonas sp. hata11
Lineage: Bacteria; Pseudomonadati; Pseudomonadota; Gammaproteobacteria; Pseudomonadales; Pseudomonadaceae
Also listed under: 5 other names
Description: bacterial SSU rRNA
Rfam family: Bacterial small subunit ribosomal RNA
Source: RNAcentral